Molecule: ribosomal RNA, 293 nt
Filed under: uncultured bacterium
Lineage: Bacteria
Description: partial 16S ribosomal RNA
Rfam family: Bacterial small subunit ribosomal RNA
Source: RNAcentral
GAGUUUGAUCAUGGCUCAGGAUGAACGCUGGCGGCGUGCCUAAUACAUGCAAGUCGAGCGAACUUCAUAAGAGCUUGCUCUUAUGAAGUUAGCGGCGGACGGGUGAGUAACACGUGGGUAACCUGCCCAUAAGACUGGGAUAACUCCGGGAAAUCGGGGCUAAUACCGGAUAACAUUUUGAACCGCAUGGUUCGAAAUUGAAAGGCGGCUUCGGCUGUCACUUAUGGAUGGACCCGCGUCGCAUUAGCUAGUUGGUGAGGUAACGGCUCACCAAGGCAACGAUGCGUAGCCGA